GACAUCUACCACUAGCUUUCCUGGUUUUCCAGUUUGCAGAUGGCAUAUGUGGACUUCUUGGGCUCCCUAAUUGCAGGAGCCAGUUCCCAAAGUAAAUCUCAUAUAUCUACGUGUAUAUAUCCUGUUGGUUUUGUUUCUCUGGAGAACCCUGAAUAAUAGCUUUCCUUUCCUCUCACUUCCCAGGAUUGUAAUUCCUGAGCCCUUAGCACAGUCUCUUCCUUCUGGGGCACCCAGGCAAAAACAGUUGAUAAGAGGAACAGCAAUAAAAAAACCUCAGGAUGGGAUUUUGCAGAAAGACUAGUCACCAAUAGCAUGGCAAAAACUCCCCAUUGCUGGUGAUAUUAUAAUGACUAAAGCUUGCCCCUGAGACUAAUUGCUAUAAGGAGCAUAUCAACGUCUAGUAUGAGGAUGUGGCAUAUGAACUACAUGACAGCAAUAGGAAAUUGAAGGAUUGUAAAGUAUAUUUUUUGACUUUUGUUUUUAACUACUUUGAAAGCACCAAUUUUACAAAAAUAGGCUCUGAAAGUCAGCUUCCAACUAAAGGCAAACUCUGAAAGACAGAAAGCCUGUGACAGCAACUCACAAAAUGCACUUGUUCUUCUUAGAAUCCUCACAUGCCACUCCUAUUGCCUUCAGGCUGGCAUUCGACAUCACAUCCCAGACAAGCCCAGUGGUGUCUGCAGAGAACUUGGUCAUCUUGGAAUUUCACAAUAUGGUGCUGGCCCACUAAAUGAUGAAUCAUACUAUUAGGUCUCAGUGAGCAGUAAGUGGUGGUACUCUAGAUGUCCCAGCAAGACACACAUGUCAGAAAAGGGAUCUAACUCUAUGAAGAUUCAGAAGCUUGCACUAUUACUAAUGGAGCCACUACCAUUGCUGAGUGUCCAACUUUCCAGCAGCUGAGACCAAUAAUAAACUUUGUAAGCAUCACCAUUCUUCAAGGAGACCAGCCACUUGGUAGUAAGUUCAAUGUAUUGGACCCCUCUAAUGUAGCACCACCCAA
Long non-coding RNA from Homo sapiens (human), 1000 nucleotides. RefSeq lists it as uncharacterized. The transcript has 3 exons. The record is from RefSeq and is a predicted model, not a curated record. NCBI's taxonomy places the organism in Eukaryota, Metazoa, Chordata, Mammalia, Primates, Hominidae.